Xiphophorus couchianus (Monterrey platyfish) is the source of this 1288-nucleotide long non-coding RNA. RefSeq lists it as uncharacterized. The record is from RefSeq and is a predicted model, not a curated record. The transcript has 2 exons. NCBI's taxonomy places the organism in Eukaryota, Metazoa, Chordata, Actinopteri, Cyprinodontiformes, Poeciliidae.
AACGUUCUGCUUUUUGCAGAUGAUGUGAUUCUGAACUUCGGGUUGUGAUCUCCAGAUUUCACUGCAGAAUGUCAACCUGCACCAACGUAUCAGACAUCCUGGUCUCGGUCGACCCCUCGAUCAUUCCCUGAGCUGCUGAUGGAGGCUUAGAUCUCCUGAUAUGACAUCCAUGAACACGACGUCACAUCAGGGCAGUCUGACCAGGACUGGAGGCUAGAGGCUAAUAAAUCAAUAAACUUCCAGAAUUUGUUGAUUUCCAUGAAGCUAUUUCUGAUUCCUUGACAUUUGAACACAAACAAAGACCAAUCGUCCAACUGCACAGAAGAAUCUAGUUCCACUUAACUUAAUGUCAGCCCCCCGGCCCCCACAGCCAUCAGAACUAAAAAUAACCCUCCAAAGCCCAGACACUGUCCUCUUUGAGGCUUCCUGGCUCCGGCUCCAUCUGGCUGGCCUUUCCCUGCAGCAGUAUCAGUGCGAUGUGCCAAAGUGACAACUGCAUACCAUGCAGAUCCUGACUCUGCCCUCCUCUGUGGCCAGUUAGCCCGUCGGAGCGUUCAUCCGUCUGUCGGUCGGUCGGUCCGCGGCCCGCCUGGCCCCGGCACCAGCAGCCCCUAAUCCGGGCGCGGGCUUUACCCCACUAGCUCAGUGUAAUCACACAGCUAAUUCACAGGCAGACGGGAGGAAGGCAAUCCGUGACGGACGUUUUUUGUGCGACUAAGAAUGAGCUCCCCGGUGACCAGAGGAGGUUGAGGAGAGGGAGGCUGUCAGUGAAAAGAUGGCUCCAGAAAGGCGAGAUGCGAGGGGAAUAGAUGAAUAGCAGGAACCCGCUCCCAGAUAGGAGCGCCGAAUAAGGAAAAUGUUUGGUGUGGAGAAAAAAAGAGGACAUGAAUCUGCUGCAGCCUUUUGCCAAGAGAAUGUUGAAAGAGCCAUUAUGAAGUCAGGAGGUGCACGGAUUGCAGCUUGGCUGUCUGCCCGAUUCAAACCAUCCAAGUCUGAGCAACAAAGGGAAGGAGGAUCUUCUGCUGGAGCUGCACUCAGGGCCAGGAAGCGCAGAUUUACCAGGUUUUCCUCGAUCGGACCUUCUUUCAACCCAGACCUAAAUAUCCAAACAGAACAAAACCCAGAGGGAAGGGAAGUGGAGCCGCUCGACUCCAGCAGAAACCCAGCUUCAUUUACGCCAACAAACAGAAAUAUUCUUCGUUCCAGGGAGGAAUGAUUAGACAUCAUGGGAGUGAAAUGAUAUUUAAAAACAAAAAUAAAGGAUUUUAUUCCUUUAGUUUUGGACGAA